CGCGUAGGCGGACAUUUAAGUCGGAUGUGAAAUCCCUGGGCUUAACCUAGGAAUUGCAUUCGAUACUGGGUGUCUAGAGUAUGGCAGAGGUAAAUGGAAUUCCCGGUGUAGUGGUAAAAUAACGUAGAUAUCGGGAAGAAUACCAGUGGCGAAGGCGAUUUACUGGUCCAAUACUGACGCUGAGGCGCGAAAGCGUGGGGAGCAAACA
This 208-nucleotide ribosomal RNA is filed under the name uncultured bacterium. RNAcentral's name for it is "partial 16S ribosomal RNA". It matches the Rfam family "Bacterial small subunit ribosomal RNA", at positions 568 to 774 of the family's 1533-position model. The record is from RNAcentral.